This 348-nucleotide unclassified non-coding RNA is filed under the name Hevea brasiliensis (rubber tree). Lineage: Eukaryota; Viridiplantae; Streptophyta; Magnoliopsida; Malpighiales; Euphorbiaceae. The record is from RNAcentral.
CAAGGCUACAAAUCUAUGAUUAGUGGGUUAUGUGAAAUGGGUAGGCCUAGAGAAGCAGAAGAUUUGAUUGAAGAGAUGAGAGGCAAAGGAGUGAAGCCAUCAGUAUUUGAGUUUAGGUGUGUUCUUUAUGGGUAUGGAAUAUUAGGAUUGUUUGAAGAAAUGCAGAGCAGUGUCGUCCAAAUGGAAAGUUCAGGGUUUGAAGUUGAUACAGUUUGUUCAAAUAUGAUUCUUUCAUCCUAUGGAUCUUAUAAUGCACUUACUGAAAUGGGAUUAUUUCUCCAAAAGAUGAAGGAUUUGGGCAUUCCAUUCUCAUUAAGGACUUUCAAUUCGGUCUUGAAUUCAUGUCCU